GUAGGUGAACCUGCGGAAGGAUCAUUAACACGUAUUUUACGUUCCACACCAUGCGCUCAAGUUCCGAGUACUGAGAAAUCGAUUCACCGGCGCGAUGUAUUCGCCUUGGUGAGCCGUUGAUGACGCCUGCCUUGAGGACAUCUGUUCUUGGGGAUUGUGGUACACACCGGCUCCCUGGGCGGCAGGCCUGCGGACAUAUGAGAGGACUUCUUGAGAAGGUUCAUCCUCUCGUCCUGCUGGGACUGUUUGACUUCGCGGUUGUUUUACCGGGGUGCUCGAUACCUGGAACUUUUUUCUCUUUGAACCCCCUCAGUAACUUACAAACCAGUGUAACUAUUGGACUAAACCAUACUGUGAUUGUGAGCGGCAACGCUCCCAUCAUCUUGUACGGCAACUUAUUACAACUCUUAGCAACGGAUAUCUUGGUUCUC
This 431-nucleotide unclassified non-coding RNA is filed under the name rhizosphere metagenome. Its description in RNAcentral is "partial ribosomal RNA internal transcribed spacer region". The record is from RNAcentral.